RNAcentral lists this ribosomal RNA (162 nucleotides) under Angelica omeiensis. RNAcentral describes it as "5.8S ribosomal RNA". It matches the Rfam family "5.8S ribosomal RNA". From Rfam's summary of the family: 5.8S ribosomal RNA (5.8S rRNA) is a component of the large subunit of the eukaryotic ribosome. It is transcribed by RNA polymerase I as part of the 45S precursor that also contains 18S and 28S rRNA. Lineage: Eukaryota; Viridiplantae; Streptophyta; Magnoliopsida; Apiales; Apiaceae. The record is from RNAcentral.
AACGACUCUCGACAACGGAUAUCUCGGCUCUCGCAUCGAUGAAGAACGUAGCGAAAUGCGAUACUUGGUGUGAAUUGCAGAAUCCCGUGAACCAUCGAGUCUUUGAACGCAAGUUGCGCCCGAAGCCACUCGGCUUAGGGCACGCCUGCCUGGGUGUCACGC